UUUCUAACGAGCGUUGUGUCAUGCGCUUCAGCUUCUCCGUGCUUUGUGGGUAAACUGCUCUUGCCACAUCGGCAGCGGCUCCCUCCUCCCCUCUAAACUAAUGGCCAAAUCGCGUGCUCAUACACAGCAAACAUGUCAGCAGCCGUACCCCAAACCGUGCAGCUGGUGCUGUGGAACAAACGGAGGCAACGUCUACCAGUGUUGCCCCGCUCCAGCACAGUGGACAGCAGGGCCAUUGCGUUGCGGCGCUGAAACUGUCGUUAGCCUCCCACCUCCGCUGUCCCUGCCGCCUCCGGGCACUACCACAGUGCCUCUGCUCCUGUCCCAGUCACCUGCCGCAUCACCAUCGCACAGAGGCAGGGUACAGGGUCUCAGUCGGCCCUGAGCGGGAGACCGGCCAACGUCCUCCUCGGGCUCAUCCGGCAUGCGCCUCUAAGCCACCACCCCCUGUUACCCGCACGGCAGACGCCACCGCCUCCGCCCCGAAACAGGGCCCGGGGCCGCGGCCCCGCUUCGGAUCAAGGCACGCAAUCCGGCCCGGUCGGUGUGGCUGCUGACCGCGCAGCACGCAUGCGAGGCAGAGGGACGAGGCAAGGGCAAGAGGAGCCCGUGAGGCGCACGGCCCGGUUCGGGGGCAGGACGGCUCGUCCUCGACGACCAGGACCGAGCCGCGGUGCAACACGCGGGUAGGUGCACCGUGUCGUUGUGUGCGUGUAUAUAUACACACAUACAUGUAUAUGGGUGAUGACGUGUUUGUGCCAUGAGGGCGUUUCUUCUUCCUUUUCGACGCGUCCCUUCUCUGCCGCACAACAUGAGCUGAAUGCCACUCUACACCCCAGGCCCGUCACAGGCCACCCAUCACGUGGCGUGAAGCAGCGGUAGACGCGCGUUACAGCGAUGCGCCGACUCGUCCAUCUGAGCACGGCUCCUGUCCCCCCACCCACCCCACCCCCGCUCCGCAGGCAGCCUCACAGCCGCUCCCGUUGCGCCGAGCGACACACGCUCGAGCCACGCUGACACUCUGCCGAGCAUACCCAUGGUGCAAACAUCUCCACUGUUGCCGGUGGCUCUCACGCAGCGCCAUCCAGGACCUGACCGCCGGCAUCCGUAGCGAUGCAUCACACUGGCCUCCCCGUGUCGCAGGCGCUGGACCCUGUCGGGGCCAGGCGCGGUGGCUCGGCUUCUCCACAGAGGGCGGUUCUGGAUUCCGAUACCACUUUGAGGUCUUUCCCCUCAUCAGGGGUAUAAUG
This 1250-nucleotide unclassified non-coding RNA is filed under the name Leishmania donovani. Its description in RNAcentral is "gene:unknown". Lineage: Eukaryota; Euglenozoa; Kinetoplastea; Trypanosomatida; Trypanosomatidae. The record is from RNAcentral.